GAGGAAGAACUAUAGUCAAGGUAGAGACUGUGAGAAAAUAAAAGGGGGAAAAAAAGAAAAGAAAAAUUAUGCCAAAAUAAAAUUUAAAAAAACUGAGGGAGACCAAUAACUGUAUAUCUCUCAGACUUUAACUAAUGAGAGAGUUUGUAAUCAAGAGAUUUGAUAAAAGCUCAGUGAAAACGAUUACGUCAUCUCCACUUUACUUUGUCUUAGAAGCAUUUAAAGAAAGCCAUGGCAUGUUAAAUAGCAAAAACAAAAUGCUAACCAAUUCUUUGUCAAAAACCAUGUUCAACAAUCUGAUUAUGGUUCAAUAAAAUGACUGAAAGAUCUAAUAAAGGAAGGAAUAAAACAGCCACGUGGAAAUUGUGUAUCUUUGCAUGGAAAGUAUUCUGCGUAAAUUAGCCCAGAGGGCACUCUAAAAGGUCAAUUACAAAAUGUUUACGUUUCUGUAAACAGUAACCAAAACACAGCAACAACUCUACAGGCUGUGUCAGGGGCUGUAGCAACAGCUCCAGGGCUUCAGGGAAAGUUUCUCUGUCAAAAGAAUAGCAUGUUUGAUCCUUACAAACCCCUUGUAACUUCCUCAGGAUGGAUUUAGAACUGUGAUUUCUGGACCAAGAGUGUAUGAGGACGGUGAGUCUGCUUUUUAGUGUAUUUCCUUCUAUUUAGUGUAUUUCCAGGUAGCUGUUUCAACGUAUGUGUCUGUUAUCUUCAGGAAUUUUCCACUUCUAUAAAACCCAUGUAACUAAAUAGUUCCUGGUGCAACUUAAAGAAAAUACACUUUCUAGUUUAAAUAAAGUCUCUUUACCCUGCCCCCUCCCCCC
RNAcentral lists this long non-coding RNA (824 nucleotides) under Mus musculus (house mouse). Its description in RNAcentral is "long non-coding RNA chr18:25050626-25051450". Lineage: Eukaryota; Metazoa; Chordata; Mammalia; Rodentia; Muridae. The record is from RNAcentral.